This 253-nucleotide ribosomal RNA is filed under the name uncultured bacterium. RNAcentral's name for it is "partial 16S ribosomal RNA". It matches the Rfam family "Bacterial small subunit ribosomal RNA", at positions 524 to 776 of the family's 1533-position model. The record is from RNAcentral.
UACGGGGGGGGCAAGCGUUGUUCGGAAUUACUGGGCGUAAAGGGCUCGUAGGUGGCCAACUAAGUCAGACGUGAAAUCCCUCAGCUUAACUGGGGAACUGCGUCUGAUACUGGAUGGCUUGAGUUUGGGAGAGGGAUGCGGAAUUCCAGGUGUAGCGGUGAAAUGCGCAGAUAUCAGGAGGAACACCCGUAGCGAAGGCGGCACUCUGGGCCGAUACUGACACUGAGGAGCGAAAGCGUGGGGAGCGAACAGG